This 22-nucleotide microRNA is filed under the name Mus musculus (house mouse). Its description in RNAcentral is "mmu-miR-125b-2-3p". Its record names the gene mmu-miR-125b-2-3p. The record is from miRBase by way of RNAcentral. Lineage: Eukaryota; Metazoa; Chordata; Mammalia; Rodentia; Muridae.
ACAAGUCAGGUUCUUGGGACCU